Molecule: long non-coding RNA, 2471 nt
Organism: Ostrea edulis (European flat oyster)
Lineage: Eukaryota; Metazoa; Mollusca; Bivalvia; Ostreida; Ostreidae
Exons: 4
Source: RefSeq, a predicted model, not a curated record
ACGUAAGAAUCAUGCAGAAUGAAAAAAAAAGUGGCACAGCUAUAAAUUUAAAAUCUCUUGAAAAAUGGCUAAUUUUGAAGAAAAUCAUGUUUUGAACUUGAUCCAAUAAAAAAUUUCACCUUGAAUCCUUCUUAAGAUUUUUAAUCGGCUGAAAGGAUAUUCGGUUUCAAAAAUAUUUUCCCGUUGUUUUCUUUAUAAAGAGCACUAAUGAAAAUGGUCAUAAAAAUUAAUUAUCGGACACUCUGUCAUUAAAGAUUAAUAGAUACAUAAAGUCAAUAGUAUGGACAGUAAAAGAAAUAACAAACAUCAUUUGGAAACAUGUUUACAAAUUAGUUACAGAUUUUUAAAAACUACGUACGAUCUAGCAGAUUGACGAUUUUAUUAUCUCCCUUUGCUAACUCUUUAGUGUUAAAGAUACGAUUGUUUGGGGAAACAUGACAACAUGUCAUACGAGUUGGCGGUUUGAAUACAGACGAUGCCGUUUUGUAACAUUUCUUUAUGGACAAAUACUCCAUGUGAAGAAGUUUCAAAGACAAUUUAUGUGAAUGACUAUAAGAAAUCGGUAGCUAGAUAUUUAUGCUCCUUAAACAAAUCACAUUGCGGGAAAUUCAUGACACAAGGCCCGCCUGCGCCUGUGUCUAUUUUCACAAUCACACGUUGGAAUUUUUCGGUUGUUUCAUAUCAUCAGAGUUCUUUAGAGUGGAUGAGGAAUACUACAUGUGUUUUCCCAGAUCACUCGGUCAGUUGUAUUGGAUAUACGAACCGGAUAUCGGCACAUAUCAUUAACAUUUGGGAUGAGCAACAUGCUUGUGGAAAAAUGCUACGGCCAGUAUGGGUGGCGGUGCAGUAUACAAGGAAUCUAUUCACUGAAAUUCCAAGAAGAUUCCAUGACUUGCUUGCCAUACAACAAACAACAGAAUAUGGACGUGAUUCCUAGAAUUAGAACUUGAAUGGGUCAGACUUGAAUACAUGCAAAGUCAUGUAGCAAUAUUAAAGGUGUUGCACUUCAGGAAAAGGGGAAGCGUAUUUGUUGGAAGAUGGAUAAAGAAAAAUUGGAGCAUGCACUAGACUUCUUUAAAUCCUGCUUUUUUAUCAGGUAACAUCAUUGAGUACAAAAGAAAUGUACCUUCACAGCAGACAACUUAUAACCUUUCGACAAGAAAUUGGGACUGCCUGCCAUUCAACCAUUGUACAUAUAUGAAUUUACCAGUCCUGUUGUGAAGAAACUUAUUUCAUCAUCUUCCAAGGGCCAUGUUAUUUAGGAUUUUAACUACUUGUCAUGCAUCACAAGCUUAAAAAGACUUCACAAUCUGGCUGCAGAUGGAACUGCAUGGUUUGAAAUCCUCAUAGGAAUUCUGAGAAGCAUGGAGGCCUAUUAACCAGAUAAUGAGAUUGUUAUGAGAUUGAUCACUGUUCGUUAUCUUCACCUUGCAUAGCUUGAGGAGUACCAGGAAAAUUUACUUGCAGCAAAAUUGUACAUAAAGAGAGACUCACUCAAGCAUGAAUGUAGAAUAAUUAUAAAGAUACAGUAUAGAGAGAGAAAGAGAGAAUUAUAUGGUGAUAUAAUUAAACUCAUUGUCUUGAAUGGGUAUGGCAUGUCAGUAGAGAAUCAUGAUUCAUAUGGUGAUAUUUUUCAAUUAUAUACUCGUUUCAGUGCAAUGGCAUUGUACAAAUAAAUAUUUUAAGUGUUGUUAGGGAAAGUGGUUGCUAUGGUGAUAUGUGUAAACAUAUUGUCUUCCAUGGGUCUGACAUGUCAGUAAAUAAUUACAUGUUGAUAUAUUUGUAUUAUAUUCUCAUUUGAAGGCAAUUGGAAUUGUACAGUUUGAAAUGUUUGCUUGUUGCUAGGGAAAAUUGGUUGCUAUGGUGAUAUAGUUAAACCUGAUGUCUUCAUUGGAUUCAACAUAUCAGUAGAAAAUCAUAUAUUGGUAUAUUUGCAUUAGGUUCUCAUUCCAGUGCAAUUUAAUCAUACAACUUUAAAUUUUAUGUGCGUUGCUAAGGAAAAUCAGUUGCUAUGGUGAUAUGGUUGAAGUCUGAUUUCUCCAAUUGGUCUGAAAUGUCAAUAAAUUAAAGUGAACCCAGAUGAUUUGUAUUUAUUUUCAGUUAAUGGAAUCAUUUUAAUGCAUAUAUUGCAGAUAUUCUUGUUUUAUUGUGUUGGAAAUGGGCCUGAAAGAGUUGCCUAGCAACCGUUACUAUGUGCAUUUCCGACUCUUUUGAUUUUUAUUUUGUGUACACUUAGUAUUGAUUGUUUAGAAAAUAUGUAUCAAAAUUUGGCACUUUUCAGAUAACUAAAGUAAUAUGUAUUUAAAAUACCCUAAAAUUGUCGAAUUUACAGAAAAUUGAUAAAUAUUAAAACAAUGCCUAUUCCAAAGUCCUCUACAGAUACCAUAUAAUAGUAUUUCAUUAGUAUUGUACAUUUUUAUAUUGAAGUAACCUUUACCUCGCCUAAAUAAAUUAUCAUUAUGUUUGAAAAA